GACGAACGCUGGCGGCGUGCUUAACACAUGCAAGUCGAACGGUAAGGCUCCAGCUUGCUGGGGUACACGAGUGGCGAACGGGUGAGUAACACGUGGGUGACCUGCCCUGCACUUCGGGAUAAGCCUGGGAAACUGGGUCUAAUAACGGAUAGGACCAUGGUGUGGAUACUGUUGUGGAAAGUUUUUUCGGUGUGGGAUGGGCUCGCGGCCUAUCAGCUUGUUGGUGGGGUAAUGGCCUACCAAGGCGGCGACGGGUAGCCGGCAUGUGAGGGUGGACGGCCACAUUGGGACUGAGACACGGCCCAGACUCCUACGGGAGGCAGCAGUGGGGAAUAUUGCACAAUGGGCGGAAGCCUGAUGCAGCGACGCCGCGUGGGGGAUGACGGCCUUCGGGUUGUAAACACCUUUCACCAUCGACGAAGGGUUUCUGACGGUAGAUGGAGAAGAAGCACCGGCUAACUACGUG
RNAcentral lists this ribosomal RNA (466 nucleotides) under uncultured bacterium. Its description in RNAcentral is "partial 16S ribosomal RNA". It matches the Rfam family "Bacterial small subunit ribosomal RNA", at positions 28 to 507 of the family's 1533-position model. The record is from RNAcentral.